This is a long non-coding RNA of Astatotilapia calliptera (eastern happy), 1988 nucleotides long. The record is from Ensembl. Lineage: Eukaryota; Metazoa; Chordata; Actinopteri; Cichliformes; Cichlidae.
CGCAGACGUUAAGUCAUUAUGAGGAUGUGACACCUCACAGACCACAAGAAGCACAUGUUGCAUUUGUGUUUCAGAAGAACUCUCAGAGACUGCAUAGUGAGCGUUACAAGGAGACACCAAAAGGCACGAUGUUUCCAAGCAGAUGGUUUAAGAUUUCUUUUUUCAUGAUGAUGAUGCUUCAGUUUGCAGCAACAGCAACCUGGCAACAUUUAGCGUUUAUUGUAAGAGAUGGUGAUGAAGUCGCGUUGCCGUGUAAAAAUCCAGUAGAUGGUCAGCGUAACUGUGACAGUACAACCUGGAUGUUCAUGAAUUUAAGAAGUGCAAAAACAGUAACACUCUUUGAACAUGAUCAGUUUCACAAAGAAGCUGGAGCUAAGUUAGGUAGACUGAGCGUUACAGCAAACUGUUCUCUAGUUAUUCAGAAGGUCACAGAUCAGGAUGUUGGUCUGUACAAAUGCAAACGGUUCAUAUCAGGAAACCAACAAGACUCACCUGUUCAUCUUUCUGUUAUUCACAUGACUGAACAAAAAAGCAACGAUAAAGUCAUCUUUUACUGCUACGUGUUCUCAUAUGAAGGCUGUAGGCAUUCAGUGGAGUGGGUCUACGAGGGUAAAGAGAAUAUAUCCUCAGUCAUGGAGAUUUCAUCACGUUCCUGUAAUUCCAAUGUGGCAUUUGAGACAUCUCACUUUAAUCAGAAGUCAAUUUUGUCUGAAUUACUGUUUGUAAGGUGUAAAGUGACAGAUGAAGACAAAAGAGUGCAGCUGUUUCCCUUCAGCCCUCCGUCCUCGGGUUGGUCAUGGUGGUAUGUUUAUGUGACUGUGGGUUUAUCAGCACUCUUAAUUAUCAUAGUGAUCAUCUCAUGGAAGAAAAUGAAAGGAAAUAAAGAACAAAAGGAAGGAAAUAAGGAACCAAGCUUAAGCCCCAAAGAGGCUCAGUCUGGUUCAGAAGCCAGUCACAACACUGUGAGAUCACACACACUACACCCAGUUCAAAGUUACACUUACUGCUGUAUAGGGAUGGGUACCGGUAUCUGGCACCGGUUCUGACAUAAACGGUACCCAGACCGAAAAGCAGGGCACAUUUCGGUGCUUCAUUUCGGUGCUUCAUUUCGGUGCUUUUUUUCCCUGAGAUGUCACACACUUUGGAUUCUAGCCAAUCAUUUUACCUUUGCAAGUGUAGUAGGCGGGCCCAGGUACGUACGUUCUUUUAGAGCAGAGCUACAGAUUAGCUGCCCAAGGUUAAGCGGUCAAAGUCUGGCUGUACUUCACAGCAAAAGAUGCAAACUCAGCAGCCUGCAACAAGUGCUUUAAGGUGACACUGUGCAAAGGAGGUAACACCUCGAAUCUGAUGAAACACCUGGUGACGCAUAGCGUUUUUUUAAAGGCUGAGAAAUGCACCGUAUUUGAUAGCUUGCUGCGAGACCUCACACCGUGCACAUCUACUGCGGGUGUGGUGCCUGUUAUCGACCCGGAGUUAGCAACAUGCACCCGAAGAGGAGAGUCCUGGCCCCUAGCCCUGCCAGUGUAGCAGAAAUGAUGACGGAUGAUGAUGGCAGCAGCAGCCGUUCUUCUCUGCGCUGAACCUGACGACGGUGUUUCUUAUGCCACCAUCAGCUUUGCCAAGAAGACCCAGAAUAAAGCCAGGGUACCCUGUAAUGGUGCAGAUGAUACUGUGACAUACAGCACUGUAAACGCUUCCUCAUCUUCUGCUGGAUAUUCUUCUUCCAGUGAUCUCUAUUCCAUCAUCAACAAACCAAAGAAAUAUAUGACUGGAUUAUGAUUUCUUUUCUUGUGCACUAUCGUACAUGAAGCCACCGAGAUAACACAGACUCCCUCUAGAGGUGGAGAGGGUGAAAAUAUUCCCAGAUUGAAAAUGCAAUAAAAUGAGAUACUUAUGUGAAAUGGAUAUUUGUGUAUGAGUGUUUGUCAGUCACUAACAGACAACCAAAGAAACAUAGUUCUGUUAGCAGUAUAAUGUGGCUGUUUCUG